RNAcentral lists this ribosomal RNA (256 nucleotides) under uncultured Staphylococcus sp. RNAcentral describes it as "partial 16S ribosomal RNA". It matches the Rfam family "Bacterial small subunit ribosomal RNA", at positions 103 to 354 of the family's 1533-position model. The record is from RNAcentral. Lineage: Bacteria; Bacillati; Bacillota; Bacilli; Caryophanales; Staphylococcaceae.
CGGGUGAGUAACACGUGGAUAACUACCUAUAAGACUGGGAUAACUUCGGGAAACCGGAGCUAAUACCGGAUAAUAUAUUGAACCGCAUGGUUCAAUAGUGAAAGACGGUUUUGCUGUCACUUAUAGAUGGAUCCGCGCCGCAUUAGCUAGUUGGUAAGGUAACGGCUUACCAAGGCAACGAUGCGUAGCCGACCUGAGAGGGUGAUCGGCCACACUGGAACUGAGACACGGUCCAGACUCCUACGGGAGGCAGCAG